GUCGAAGCUAAUGCAGGAGAAUUCUGAGUUGAAGCUGAAGUUGAGGUCUGUUCAGAUGCCAACCUCUUGUGAUGACAAUGGCCGAGAGGCUGAACUAUUGGAGGAAACAAACCGGGUGAGAGAUGAGAAUGACAAGCUGAAGAAGGACAUCGAGCGGCUCUACAAUGAUCGUUGCAUGGAUGUUGAGGAAUUGGUGUAUCUGAGGUGGAUCAACGCUUGCCUACGGUAUGAGCUGAG
This 237-nucleotide unclassified non-coding RNA is filed under the name Hevea brasiliensis (rubber tree). Lineage: Eukaryota; Viridiplantae; Streptophyta; Magnoliopsida; Malpighiales; Euphorbiaceae. The record is from RNAcentral.